Long non-coding RNA from Aquila chrysaetos chrysaetos, 308 nucleotides. RefSeq lists it as uncharacterized. The transcript has 3 exons. Lineage: Eukaryota; Metazoa; Chordata; Aves; Accipitriformes; Accipitridae. The record is from RefSeq and is a predicted model, not a curated record.
UUCCUGUUUGAUAUUGGAAGCUUUCAUGAGAGAUACUGCUGCUAGUAGAUGAUCCUGCUGCUACCUUCUGACAAAAUGCAUCUCCCUCAAGUGUUCUCAAAAACCCUUGGAAGAGAAAACUGAGAGAAUUAUGCUCCUUUGGGCUGUUAAAGCUGCUACAGAUUCAGGAUUCCUUUGGGCAAAAUGAACCACCCAGCUUUCCCAUAGAUUGGGAAAAUGUUGUUGACCUAAUUUGCAGGCUAGAAAACAAAGAUCCAAGAAGUUAAACUAGCUGCCAUUGUUAAUCCUAUGCAACAUGAUGUGUGACA